UCCUUGUCCGUGCCGUUUGCUUUUGUGGGAAGAAAAAAAUGUUGAGGUAAAGGGGUCUCAUAGCUUGAAGGCGUUUGGUCCAUUGAUGUAGUAACUAACAACUUCGUUUGGCUGCUAAUUGCUUUGCCUGAAAGCUGUCUUUCAAAGUAAUAAUACUCCAUCUGUCAUAAUUUAUGUACUGUAGUUUCAUGGUUCGCAGUGUGGUUUUCGAUGGUGGAUGUGACAUCCGACGAUUGCCGAGGAAGAAAGGUGCAGGGGAGAGAAUCAAUUUGUGGUUUAUGAAUGGAAACCUUGUGCCAACAUGUUUGAUAUGUUUGCUUAUUACUAUAUGUUUGCUUAUUACUCAAUGGUAUGAUCACUGCAAUUUUUAUGUUAUUUCGUGAAAACGACAAUCAACUAGGGCUUAGUUUAUUUUUGGUACUGAUUUAUAGUUUGUUUGGUAACCACAUCACACCUUCUUAAACUUUAGACAGUUAAAUGUGAUUUAUGUUUCCUCCUAAUUCAUAUUUUCUGCCUUUCAGGUUGCAUUGGCAAAUGGGGCCUCAACAAUCUCUUGUGCCAUUUGAACUUUAAUUUGAUUAUCGAUGAAGCAAGAUAUUCUAGAUUUAUCGAAUCCUAUUUUUUUCAUCAGAUCGAUAUGGUUGUCUGUAUGAACUACGGCAUAAGCUUCUUUGAGCAGCUUUUGACGGUGUUUCCAUCUUUUAAUUUCUCAGCAAUUGCAAGUACCAACCUCAGAGUUGAAAGUAAGUGAUGCAUAUUUUUCACGGAUCAAAUAGGAAUCACUACCACAGUACUGGCCUAACUUCUGUACUAAUGCCUACAUCAACCGCCUGGGAAGAAGUUCUAGGUACAUCUAUUGAAUCGGUCGGUUUAUCUUCCUUUAUCUAUAACUCGAUAUAGAUAUUAGGCCAAGUAGGCUAUUACAGUACAGGUGGACCACUUUUAGACAUGCCAUAUUCUUUGUCUGAAUAACAAAAUUAUUUUCACAUGGAAACCUCACACAAAAUCGUUGUUUAAAUCAUUGUUGGAUGUUCCAUUCUUUGAUUAUUUUGUUACAUUCAAACUAAGAAUAAUGCAAGAAAAAAAACCUUCAUUGUUCUAG
Molecule: long non-coding RNA, 1102 nt
Filed under: Triticum aestivum (bread wheat)
Lineage: Eukaryota; Viridiplantae; Streptophyta; Magnoliopsida; Poales; Poaceae
Description: long non-coding RNA (TAES_LNC016900)
Source: RNAcentral